GAGGGUAUAGCUCAGUGGCAGAGUGUGUGCUUAGCAUGCAUGAAGUCCUGGGUUCAAUCCCCAGUAACUCUG
RNAcentral lists this transfer RNA (72 nucleotides) under Camelus bactrianus (Bactrian camel). It matches the Rfam family "tRNA". Rfam says of the family: Transfer RNA (tRNA) molecules are approximately 80 nucleotides in length. Their secondary structure includes four short double-helical elements and three loops (D, anti-codon, and T loops). The record is from Rfam by way of RNAcentral. RNAcentral also lists the same sequence under 2 other names. Lineage: Eukaryota; Metazoa; Chordata; Mammalia; Artiodactyla; Camelidae.